RNAcentral lists this ribosomal RNA (254 nucleotides) under uncultured bacterium. Its description in RNAcentral is "partial 16S ribosomal RNA". It matches the Rfam family "Bacterial small subunit ribosomal RNA", at positions 524 to 776 of the family's 1533-position model. The record is from RNAcentral.
UACGGGGGGGGCAAGCGUUGUUCGGAAUUACUGGGCGUAAAGGGCUCGUAGGCGGCCAACUAAGUCAGACGUGAAAUCCCUCGGCUUAACCGGGGAACUGCGUCUGAUACUGGAUGGCUUGAGGUUGGGAGAGGGAUGCGGAAUUCCAGGUGUAGCGGUGAAAUGCGUAGAUAUCUGGAGGAACACCGGUGGCGAAGGCGGCAUCCUGGACCAAUUCUGACGCUGAGUGAGCGAAAGCCAGGGGAGCGAACAGG